RNAcentral lists this ribosomal RNA (253 nucleotides) under uncultured bacterium. RNAcentral's name for it is "partial 16S ribosomal RNA". It matches the Rfam family "Bacterial small subunit ribosomal RNA", at positions 524 to 776 of the family's 1533-position model. The record is from RNAcentral.
UACAGAGGUCCCAAGCGUUGUUCGGAUUCACUGGGUUUAAAGGGUGCGUAGGUGGGCAAGUAAGUCAGUGGUGAAAUCUCCGGGCUUAACCCGGAAACUGCCAUUGAUACUAUUUGUCUUGAAUACUGUGGAGGUCAGCGGAAUAUGUCAUGUAGCGGUGAAAUGCUUAGAUAUGACAUAGAACACCGAUUGCGAAGGCAGCUCGCUAAACUUAUAUUGACGCUGAGGCACGAAAGCGUGGGGAUCAAACAGG